UUCCUUCCUUCCUUCCUGCUAUUGCCUUUUUUCUGGGCUGUUCUUAUUCUAUGAUACUGUAGAACUGAGGUUGCUCUGAGCAUCCUCUUGUUUCUAAGCUGCCUCAUUUGUUUCUGUUGAUUGCAUGUAUUUUUUUUAAGACCCUGCACAAAGAUUAAAAAGCACAAUCCCUGCCUGCAGGCUUAUUCUCUGAUAGGCAGAGACUGAAAAGAGAGAGAAAGAGGGGGAAAGAGAGAGAGGGGAGAGAGAGAG
This is a non-coding RNA of Notechis scutatus (mainland tiger snake), 252 nucleotides long. Lineage: Eukaryota; Metazoa; Chordata; Lepidosauria; Squamata; Elapidae. The record is from RefSeq and is a predicted model, not a curated record.